GGGCACGCCCGCCGGAGGUUCAAAACUCUUAUUUUUUCCAGUAUCUCUGAGCCUGAAAGACAAAUAAUCAAAACUUUCAACAACGGAUCUCUUGGUUCUGGCAUCGAUGAAGAACGCAGCGAAAUGCGAUAAGUAAUGUGAAUUGCAGAAUUCAGUGAAUCAUCGAAUCUUUGAACGCACAUUGCGCCCGCCGGUAUUCCGGCGGGCAUGCCUGUUCGAGCGUCAUUUCAACCCUCAAGCCUCGGCUUGGUGUUGGGGCGCCCGGGCCCUCCGCGGCCCGGGGCCCCCAAGUUCAUCGGCGGGCUCGUCGGUACACUGAGCGCAGUAAAACGCGGUAAAACGCGAACCUCGUUCGGAUCGUCCCGGCGUGCUCCAGCCGCUAAACCCCCAAUUUUUUAAAGGUUGACCUCGGAUCAGGUAGGAAUACCCGCUGAACUUAAGCAUAUCAAUA
RNAcentral lists this ribosomal RNA (451 nucleotides) under Pyricularia oryzae. RNAcentral describes it as "eukaryotic LSU rRNA". The stretch from base 72 to 225 matches the Rfam family "5.8S ribosomal RNA". Lineage: Eukaryota; Fungi; Ascomycota; Sordariomycetes; Magnaporthales; Pyriculariaceae. The record is from RNAcentral.